This 705-nucleotide long non-coding RNA is filed under the name Manihot esculenta (cassava). RNAcentral describes it as "long non-coding RNA (MESC_LNC003035)". Lineage: Eukaryota; Viridiplantae; Streptophyta; Magnoliopsida; Malpighiales; Euphorbiaceae. The record is from RNAcentral.
UUUUUUUUUAAUGUUAAGAAAAAUAUUUUCAAUCAGACACUAAUAUAUAAAAAAAUAUUUUGCAUUAUAAUAAUAUGUUUAUUAAAACAAUAAUAUUUAUUGAUAAUAGUUGCAGAAGUAACACCACUUUCUUAAGAAAAUUCAUGUUACAAGCUAUUACUCCACUUGUUCUUAGAUUGAUAAUUUUAAGUGCAAGUAGGAUGAAUGAUUAAUUGAUUUAAAGCUAAUCUUGACGUAUAAAACAUAGUUAAUGAAGAGCAAACAAGUUGCCAUGUGAACGCUACUUUGCUUUUGCAAGCUAAAUACUGAAUCCUGUAAUAGCCCCAGAAUCUUAACCUGAAACCCCCAACGGCGUAUCUUUCUCUGUUGUUAGGUGCUAUGGUGGUGAUACUUUCCUUUUUAACACCAUCAAUCUCUUUUCUUUUGACAUCAAGAAAGAAAUAAACAAGUACAUCCGAAUCUGCUAGAGCAUGGCCUGUAAUUGGUCACCUUCCCUCCUAGCAGUGUCAUUUCCACUUCACAUAAUCUUGAGGAAUUUGGCUGACAAUUUAUGGGCCAUAUUCACCAUGAAAUUUGGCAUGCAUCCCACAUUGGUUGUAAGCAAUCUCGCUAACGAGUGCCUUACUACUAAUGACAGUUUGUGCCAGUCGUCCUAAAUCUCUUGCCAUGGAAAUCCUAGGCUAUAUCUUUUCUAUGUUUAGCUUC